UUUUUUCCUUCUCAAAGUUAUCAUGGGCAGACCUAGAACAUUUUCUUGGACUUUAGUGCAACUGAAAUCUUUUUGAUAGCUUUCUCAUUCAUUUGAGACCAAUGUAUCUUCCCUUCAGAGCUAUAGUUUGAGUACUGGGUACAGUUCUGCGUAGAGUCACUUCUCUGUAGUCUGAGAAAACCAUAGUGCGGGAGGGAAGGAGCUUAGACAGCACUAAGUUGAAUUCUUGCUUGAGGACCUGGAUUCUGAUCGCUCAAUAAAGAUCCUCUUGGCUGGGCGCGGUGGCUCACCCCUGUAAUCCCAACACUUUGGGAGGCCGAGGCAGGUGGAUCUCUUGAGCUCAGGAGUUUGAGACCAGUCUGGGCAACAUGGCAAAACCCCAUCUCUACAAAAAAUACAAAAAAUUAGUGGGGCCGUGGUGAUGUGCACCUGUAGUCCCAGCUACCUGGGGGGCUAAGGCAGGAGGAUCACUUGAGCCCAGGAGGUCGAGGCUGCAGUGAGCCGAGAUUGUGCUACUUUACUCCAGCCAGGGUGACAAAGUAAGACUCUGUCUUCCAAUCAUGGGUCUUUCCUACUUCCAUGAGCUUCAGCUUAUUGUGUUGACUAAGAGUGCCCUGGAAGAUGGCAAGCUAGGAGGACUGCUUUUCUUCCUGGCUUAUCCUGUCAUAGCAGCCAAGUCUGUUAAGAGUCCUAGCUCAGUGCUGGAAUCAAGCAAGAGCUCUGAAGCAGCCUCCGUAAGCUACUGUAAGCCUCCUUCUCUUCCAGGACAGAAUCCAAUUUCUUAAGCAAUUGUGGAGGCAUGGUUUAUAUCAACUUCUCAUUUUCAAAAUUAUGAGGAAAUUUCUUAGUGUUCAUAGUUUGAUGAACUUACAUAACACUAAAUAAUACCUUGCUCUUCGAGUGGAACACUUAGUCUCAAGUGUGAGAUUUGUCCAAAGCUGGCUGGGCGUGGUGACUUUUGCCUGUAAUCCCAGCACUUUGGGAGGCCGAGGCAGGAGGAUCACUUGAAGUCAAGAGGUCAAGACCAGCCUGGCCAACAUGGCA
This 1044-nucleotide long non-coding RNA is filed under the name Homo sapiens (human). RNAcentral's name for it is "HSALNT0028404". The record is from RNAcentral. Lineage: Eukaryota; Metazoa; Chordata; Mammalia; Primates; Hominidae.